CAGAUGCCAACACAUGAAAUGUGAAGAAUGGAGUGGGCAGUGCCACUGGGCAGUGCUACUCCAGAAGUGUGUGCUGUGGCUGAAGCACUGCUGGUGCACAUGCUUCAGGUGAGGAUGGCUCCGUGUGAUGUCUCAGUAAUGGAUGGUGAAAUCUCCAUGGAAUAGGUAAUGAUGUCCCGAAUAAAGGUUGACUGAAGGUGAUGCCCAGAAGCAUCACCAGGCAAUGAUUUGUGAUGUUGCCAAGCAACGAACUGUAACAUCCACAGGCCAGGGACUGUGAAAAUGUGACUGCUAAAAGAUGAGUACAGUGGCUCAGCCUAUUAGCUUGUGCCCUGCCUGCAUUUGUGUGAGGACUGGAGCACAAACAAGGUGCACUUUGGCUCUGGGACAAGUUCCUUAAGCUGCUGUGGCAGCUGUCAGUACCCAUCUCAGAGCAACUUCUGGUUUACCAUGACCUUGCUUGGAGAUGACAGCUGGGACAUCCUGGAACCACAGAUGCAGCAGCACUGAGGUUUGGAAGGGAGGCUCACAGCCUGACGAGCCUCGAUGGCUGUGGUGCUCCUGGGGGACAGCAAGACAACCCUGUGAUGUGCCCCAGAACAACUGCCCCAUGAAAGGAGGCUCCUGCCCCUGGCCCAGCCCUCUCCAAUAGCCACUCCAGCUCCAAUGAAAGUGUGAUGCUGAGCACAUCUGAACAAGGCCAUGGUGGGUGCACCAGCCACUCCCAUUCCAACCCUGCUGAGGUCACCAUGGAGCAGGUAGCGCCUUGCAAGGAGACAGCACAACCUGCGGACACCAGCCGACAUGGGUGGACCUGGUGAGACCCCAAAGAGGAAGACCAGCUGCUCAUAUUUUGUCCCUGUGUCACUGGUUGUGGGGGAGCUGGCCUAUAUGACCACAUGGUCCUGCCCAGUCGGUGGGAGCUUCCUGUUCCUGAGGGAUUCUGCAGUGUCAGAGAUCAGCAGAGGCAGAGUAGUCAGACAAUGACCUGUAUCUCCUACUCCCUCUUUAUCACUUGCCACAGAAUAUAAUGUAUUAAAGCAUUAUUAUUUGCAAAAUUAUUUCUUCUAAGU
Molecule: long non-coding RNA, 1073 nt
Filed under: Coturnix japonica (Japanese quail)
Lineage: Eukaryota; Metazoa; Chordata; Aves; Galliformes; Phasianidae
Description: lncRNA (ENSCJPG00005010413.1)
Source: RNAcentral